This 540-nucleotide ribosomal RNA is filed under the name uncultured Geobacteraceae bacterium. RNAcentral's name for it is "bacterial SSU rRNA". It matches the Rfam family "Bacterial small subunit ribosomal RNA", at positions 9 to 526 of the family's 1533-position model. The record is from RNAcentral. Lineage: Bacteria; Pseudomonadati; Thermodesulfobacteriota; Desulfuromonadia; Geobacterales; Geobacteraceae.
GAGUUUGAUCCUGGCUCAGAACGAACGCUGGCGGCGUGCCUAACACAUGCAAGUCGAACGUGAUCCAGAGCUUGCUCUGGUGAAAGUGGCGCACGGGUGAGUAACGCGUGGAUAACCUACCCUGGUAUCCGGGAUAACAUUCCGAAAGGGGUGCUAAUACCGGAUAAGCCCACGGGCUCUUUGGAGCUUGCGGGCAAAGGUGGCCUCUAUUUAUAAGCUACUGUAUCAGGAUGGGUCCGCGUACCAUUAGCUAGUUGGCGGUGUAACGGACCACCAAGGCGACGAUGGUUAGCUGGUCUGAGAGGAUGAUCAGCCACACUGGAACUGAGACACGGUCCAGACUCCUACGGGAGGCAGCAGUGGGGAAUUUUGCGCAAUGGGGGAAACCCUGACGCAGCAACGCCGCGUGAGUGAUGAAGGCCUUUGGGUCGUAAAGCUCUGUCAGAGGGGAAGAAAUGAUAUAGUGCUAAUACCACUUUAUCUUGACGGUACCCUCAAAGGAAGCACCGGCUAACUCCGUGCCAGCAGCCGCGGUAAUAC